Molecule: transfer RNA, 72 nt
Filed under: Salvia splendens (bonfire salvia)
Lineage: Eukaryota; Viridiplantae; Streptophyta; Magnoliopsida; Lamiales; Lamiaceae
Rfam family: tRNA
About the family: Transfer RNA (tRNA) molecules are approximately 80 nucleotides in length. Their secondary structure includes four short double-helical elements and three loops (D, anti-codon, and T loops).
Source: Rfam by way of RNAcentral
UUGUUUGUAGUCCAAUGGUUUGGAUUAUUGACUUCCAAGCAAUAAAUUCAGGUUUGAUCCCUGACAAACGCA